Molecule: microRNA precursor, 297 nt
Filed under: Amborella trichopoda
Lineage: Eukaryota; Viridiplantae; Streptophyta; Magnoliopsida; Amborellales; Amborellaceae
Description: miR8558b stem-loop (atr-MIR8558b)
Source: miRBase by way of RNAcentral
GUGCGAAGGGGGCUCUUGCAGGCGGAGGACAUGGUGGAAUGGUGAAGAGGCGGUAUGGUAGCCGUUGGUGUAUGGCUGGGCAGAAUUUGGAAACCCUAGUUUUGGUUUUUACGGGAAACCAGGAUUAGGAAACUCUAAUUUUGGCUCUUACCGGAAAUCCAGUAUUAGGAGAACCUAAUUUGGGUGUCUUACAGGAAACCAUGGUUUCCGAUCCCGCCCAUGCCGUGUACCCAUGGCUUCUAUCCCCUUUUCAUAACCCACUUAAGUUUCCCGAUCCCGCCCUUGCCGUUUACGCAC